UGCCAAACGGAUCCUCAUCAUCUCCGCUUCACCUUCUGAAUAGCCAGAAAGAGACAGUUUGGAGGUGAGGAAUGAAGUAGUAAAGAAAGCGAGGAUUAUCGGCUUAUCCGGGGCAGGCUUGUCCUAUAUCCUCCA
Caenorhabditis elegans is the source of this 135-nucleotide non-coding RNA. The record is from Ensembl. Lineage: Eukaryota; Metazoa; Nematoda; Chromadorea; Rhabditida; Rhabditidae.